RNAcentral lists this ribosomal RNA (253 nucleotides) under uncultured bacterium. RNAcentral describes it as "partial 16S ribosomal RNA". It matches the Rfam family "Bacterial small subunit ribosomal RNA", at positions 524 to 776 of the family's 1533-position model. The record is from RNAcentral.
UACGGAGGGUGCAAGCGUUAUCCGGAUUUACUGGGUUUAAAGGGUGCGUAGGUGGGUGAAUAAGUCAGUGGUGAAAGCCUGUAGCUUAACUAUAGAAUUGCCAUUGAAACUGAAAGUCUCGAGUGUGGUUGAGGUAACUGGAAUAUAUCAUGUAGCGGUGAAAUGCUUAGAUAUGAUAUAGAACACCAAUUGCGAAGGCAGGUUACUGAGCCAUUACUGACGCUGAGGCACGAAAGCGUGGGGAUCAAACAGG